UUCAGGAGGACCAUGAAAAGAUUCUAUUGGAGCAUGCUCAGCUGCUGACUAAGUACCAGCAGGUGCAGAAGCAACUUGAUGAAAUAUAGGCUGAAAACAGAGGCCUCAAACGACCAAAUGACUCCAAUUGUGAUCUAAGCAAAGGUGAUGAUGUACAGGCAAAAUGGGUUGAUGAAGAUGGAAAAGAAUCCUGGUUAUCAGCCACAGUGACAAAAGAG
This is a long non-coding RNA of Dreissena polymorpha, 218 nucleotides long. RefSeq lists it as uncharacterized. NCBI's taxonomy places the organism in Eukaryota, Metazoa, Mollusca, Bivalvia, Myida, Dreissenidae. The record is from RefSeq and is a predicted model, not a curated record. The transcript is spliced from 3 exons.